This 460-nucleotide ribosomal RNA is filed under the name uncultured bacterium. RNAcentral describes it as "partial 16S ribosomal RNA". It matches the Rfam family "Bacterial small subunit ribosomal RNA", at positions 338 to 795 of the family's 1533-position model. The record is from RNAcentral.
CCUACGGGAGGCAGCAGUGAGGAAUAUUGGUCAAUGGGCGCGAGCCUGAACCAGCCAAGUAGCGUGAAGGAUGACUGCCCUACGGGUUGUAAACUUCUUUUAUAAAGGAAUAAAGUGAGGCACGUUUGCCUUUUUGUAUGUACUUUAUGAAUAAGGAUCGGCUAACUCCGUGCCAGCAGCCGCGGUAAUACGGAGGAGCCGAGCGUUAUCCGGAUUUAUUGGGUUUAAAGGGAGCGUAGAUGGGUUGUUAAGUCAGUUGUGAAAGUUUGAGCCUAAACCGGAAAAUUGCAAUUGAUACUGGCAGCCUUGAGUACAGUUGAGGUAGGCGGAAUUCGUGGUGUAGCGGUGAAAUGCUUAGAUAUCACGAAGAACUCCGAUUGCGAAGGCAGCUUACUAAACUGCCACUGACAUUGAUGCUCGAAAGUGUGGGUAUCAAACAGGAUUAGAUACCCUUGUAGUC